UAGGAGGGUGUCUAGGGGUUGCCAAAGGU
RNAcentral lists this non-coding RNA (29 nucleotides) under Rattus norvegicus (Norway rat). Lineage: Eukaryota; Metazoa; Chordata; Mammalia; Rodentia; Muridae. The record is from RNAcentral.